AAGUCGUAACAAGGUUUCCUAGGUGAACCUGCGGAAGGAUCAUUAACACGUAUCCAAACGUUAACCCCCCCCGUGAACCUUCAUCCUGCUCUUGUAACCCGCGUAGUUCGCAAUCUCUGAACUGUGGGGUUAUUAGGGGGCAUGGGGACCCUUUGGCAAAGCUCCUGCCCGAAUGUACGGUCUACAGGAAUCGUAGAAGCGCUAUCCUUGCACAAUCAAUGACACUUUCCGACACUGACUGCUUGGGGAAGCAUUGCCUAUAGAACUACCGCUCGAUUGUAACUGUUCCAAUGUUCGCACGUAGCCAGAGGUCUCUGAAUCACUACAACUUUCCGGUUAAAUGUGAAGCUCAAUGUAAUACAUUGGGUAAAAAAACCGAACAAAUGUUAACAAUGGAUAUCUUGGUUCUC
This 410-nucleotide unclassified non-coding RNA is filed under the name fungal sp. Its description in RNAcentral is "partial internal transcribed spacer region". The record is from RNAcentral. Lineage: Eukaryota; Fungi.